RNAcentral lists this ribosomal RNA (254 nucleotides) under uncultured bacterium. RNAcentral's name for it is "partial 16S ribosomal RNA". It matches the Rfam family "Bacterial small subunit ribosomal RNA", at positions 524 to 776 of the family's 1533-position model. The record is from RNAcentral.
GACGAACCGUGCGAACGUUAUUCGGAAUCACUGGGCUUAAAGCGCGUGUAGGCGGGCCGCCACGUCGGGCGCUGAAAUCCCCCGGCUCAACCGGGGAACGGGCACCGAUACGAGCGGCCUGGAGGGGAGUAGGGGGACCUGGAACUUCCGGUGGAGCGGUGAAAUGCGUAGAUAUCGGGAGGAAUACCGAUGGCGAAGGCAGGUCUCUGGGCUGACACUGACGCUCAUGCACGAAAGCGUGGGGAGCAAACAGG